This 279-nucleotide ribosomal RNA is filed under the name uncultured bacterium. RNAcentral describes it as "partial 16S ribosomal RNA". It matches the Rfam family "Bacterial small subunit ribosomal RNA", at positions 28 to 303 of the family's 1533-position model. The record is from RNAcentral.
GACGAACGCUGGCGGCGUGCUUAACACAUGCAAGUCGAGCGGUAAGGCCCUUUCGGGGGUACACGAGCGGCGAACGGGUGAGUAACACGUGGGUGACCUGCCCUCAGCUCUGGGAUAAGCCCUGGGAAACCGGGUCGUAAUACCGUGGAGUAUGACUCCAUGACGCAUGUUGUGGGGUGGAAAGCCUUGUGCGGCUGAGGAUGGGCCCGCGGCCUAUCAGCUUGUUGGUGGGGUGAUGGCCUACCAAGGCGACGACGGGUAGCCGGCCUGAGAGGGCGA